CCUACGGGAGGCAGCAGUAGGGAAUCUUUCACAAUGGGCGAAAGCCUGAUGGAGCAACGCCGCGUGCAGGAUGAAGGCCUUCGGGUUGUAAACUGCUUUUAUAAGCGAGAAAUAUGAUGGUAACUUAUGAAUAAGGAUCGGCUAACUACGUGCCAGCAGCCGCGGUCAUACGUAGGAUCCGAGCAUUAUCCGGAGUGACUGGGUGUAAAGAGUUGCGUAGGUGGCAUAAUAAGUAGCUAGUGAAAUCUGGUGGCUCAACCAUUCAGACUAUUAGCUAAACUGUUAAGCUCGAGACCGUUAGGGGUAACUGGAAGUUCUAGUGUAGGAGUGAAAUCCGUAGGUAUUAGAAGGAACACCAAUAGCGUAGGCAGGUUGCUGGGACGGUUCUGACACUAAGGCACGAAAGCGUAGGGAGCAAACGGGAUUAGAUACCCCUGUAGUC
Molecule: ribosomal RNA, 442 nt
Filed under: uncultured bacterium
Lineage: Bacteria
Description: partial 16S ribosomal RNA
Rfam family: Bacterial small subunit ribosomal RNA
Source: RNAcentral